This 1382-nucleotide unclassified non-coding RNA is filed under the name uncultured Neocallimastigales. RNAcentral describes it as "partial contains small subunit ribosomal RNA, internal transcribed spacer 1, 5.8S ribosomal RNA, internal transcribed spacer 2, and large subunit ribosomal RNA". The stretch from base 640 to 1382 matches the Rfam family "Eukaryotic large subunit ribosomal RNA", at positions 1 to 629 of the family's 3401-position model. Lineage: Eukaryota; Fungi; Neocallimastigomycota; Neocallimastigomycetes; Neocallimastigales. The record is from RNAcentral.
GGAAGUAAAAGUCGUAACAAGGUUUCCGUAGGUGAACCUGCGGAAGGAUCAUUAAUAAAUUUUUUAGGUUGAAAUACGAACCUAAAAAUAUAUAAUCCUACCUUGUGAAUUUGUUGUUUGAAAUAAUUUUUAAAAAAUUAUUUAUAGUUUUGUCUAUCCCUGAGUUGUAAGAGAAGUAAUUCUUGAAGACUUAGGGAAUAGGCUUUAUCUAUAAUAAUGAUUUAAAGACUUUUUUAAAUUAAACUUUUGUAUUCAUUUUCUAAAAUUUAUUUUAAUAAUUUAAAAACAACUUUGACAAUGGAUCUCUUGGUUCUCGCACGAUGAAGAACGCAGCAAAAUGCGAUAAGUAAUGUGAAUUGCAGAUACGUGAAUCAUCAAAUCUUCGAACGCAUAUUGCACUUUUUAGUUUACUAAAAAGUAUGUCUGUUUGAGUAUCAGUAAAAUAUCUCAUAAAAAUUAUUUUUUUAUGGUUUUGAGUGUUUACAACGAUACAAGUUGUUUCACUUUAAUUGACUUUAAAUUGCCUAUUAAUUUAGUCAUUUUAAAAUUGCAUAAAAUUUCCCGUAAAAGGAAUAACUAUCAAUUUUAAAAUUAACUGAUAUUAAAGGCCUUGAUAAAAGGAAAUUUAAUUAAAUAACUUGAUCUCAAUCAGAUAAGAGACCGCUGAACUUAAGCAAUCAAUAAGCGGAGGAAAAGAAACUAACAAGGAUUCCCUAGUAACGGCGAGUGAAGCGGGAAGAGCUCAAAUUUGAAAUCUUCAAGUUUGACCUUGACGAUAGUAGUUUAAAGAAGUGUUUUCGGUUAGAGGAGUGUAAAGUUCUUGAAUAGGACAUCAUAGAGGUGAGAAUCCCGUAUUUGACCAUUCUUUCUAGCUUGUGAUACACUUCAAAGAGUCGGAUUGUUUGGGAAUGCAGUCCAAAUGGUGUAAAUUUCAUCUAAAGCUAAAUAUUGGCGAGAGACCGAUAGCGAACAAGUACCGCGAGGAAAGAUGAAAAGAACUUUGAAAGAGAGUUAAACAGUACGUGAAAUUGUCAAAAGGAAGCGUUGACACCAGUGUUGUUUUCCGAAAUCAAUUAAAAUAAUUCAUGCCGGUUGUAUUGACCUUAUCAGCUUGCAAUUUGGUUUGGGUUUCUUUUUGAUGCACUUUCGGUUAACAAGUCAACAUCAAUUUCCUUUGCUGUAAAAGGCAGGAGGAAGUGGCUUCAAUUUCGGUUGAAGUGUUUAUAGCCUUCUGUCUCUGCAGUCGGGAGAUUGAGGUCUGCAGCGUAGAUCCUUCGGGUUAGAUACAUUCGUGCUAAGUUAUAGCCUUUAUAGACAACUUGUUGACUAUGAUCGUCAUGUAAUUUACUCGCGAGUGCUAUUUUACUACGCUAGGAUGUGAA